This 196-nucleotide ribosomal RNA is filed under the name Haemophilus influenzae. RNAcentral describes it as "partial 23S ribosomal RNA". It matches the Rfam family "Bacterial large subunit ribosomal RNA", at positions 2743 to 2925 of the family's 2925-position model. Lineage: Bacteria; Pseudomonadati; Pseudomonadota; Gammaproteobacteria; Pasteurellales; Pasteurellaceae. The record is from RNAcentral.
GGGUAGCUAAAUGCGGAAGAGAUAAGUGCUGAAAGCAUCUAAGCACGAAACUUGCCAAGAGAUGAGUCAUCCCUGACUUUAAGUCAGUAAGGGUUGUUGUAGACUACGACGUAGAUAGGUCAGGUGUGUAAGUGUAGUGAUACAUUGAGCUAACAGAUACUAAUUGCCCGAGAGGCUUAACUAUACAACGCUCAAG